UGCUGCCACCAUCGCUCCUGUGCA
This 24-nucleotide unclassified non-coding RNA is filed under the name Mus musculus (house mouse). Its description in RNAcentral is "oocyte_clustered_small_RNA5746". The record is from RNAcentral. Lineage: Eukaryota; Metazoa; Chordata; Mammalia; Rodentia; Muridae.